CACAGCGUAGCUUAACCUAAAGCAUCUGGCCUACACCCAGAAGAAUCCAACAAACAAUGGACGCUUUGA
RNAcentral lists this transfer RNA (69 nucleotides) under Onychomys leucogaster (northern grasshopper mouse). RNAcentral describes it as "tRNA-Val". It matches the Rfam family "tRNA". Rfam says of the family: Transfer RNA (tRNA) molecules are approximately 80 nucleotides in length. The record is from RNAcentral. Lineage: Eukaryota; Metazoa; Chordata; Mammalia; Rodentia; Cricetidae.